CAGCAGCCGCGGUAAUACGUAGGUGGCAAGCGUUGUCCGGAAUUAUUAGGCGUAAAGGGCACGCAGGCGAUUUCUUAAGUCUGAUGUGAAAGCCCCCGGCUCAACCGGGGAGGGUCAUUGGAAACUGGGAAACUUGAGUGCAGAAGAGGAGAGUGGAAUUCCACGUGUAGCGGUGAAAUGCGUAGAGAUGUGGAGGAACACCAGUGGCGAAGGCGACUCUCUGGUCUGUAACUGACGCUGAGGAGCGAAAGCGUGGGGAGCGAACAGGAUUAGAUACCCGGGUAGUCCCUGUCUCUUAACA
RNAcentral lists this ribosomal RNA (301 nucleotides) under uncultured bacterium. RNAcentral describes it as "partial 16S ribosomal RNA". It matches the Rfam family "Bacterial small subunit ribosomal RNA", at positions 509 to 808 of the family's 1533-position model. The record is from RNAcentral.